AUCUAGAUGAAGAGUCUCAAAUAGGACGAAACGCGCGUCCUGGAU
Non-coding RNA from Trichobilharzia regenti, 45 nucleotides. Lineage: Eukaryota; Metazoa; Platyhelminthes; Trematoda; Strigeidida; Schistosomatidae. The record is from Rfam.